GGCUCGUUGGUCUAGGGGUAUGAUUCGUGCAUUGGGUGUGAAAGGUCCUGGGUUCAAAUCCCGGACGAGCCC
This 72-nucleotide transfer RNA is filed under the name Danio rerio (zebrafish). It matches the Rfam family "tRNA". Rfam says of the family: Transfer RNA (tRNA) molecules are approximately 80 nucleotides in length. Their secondary structure includes four short double-helical elements and three loops (D, anti-codon, and T loops). The record is from Rfam by way of RNAcentral. Lineage: Eukaryota; Metazoa; Chordata; Actinopteri; Cypriniformes; Danionidae.